GCCGAAUAUUCGCCCCAUUUGCGGAACCGGGUGAGACCUGCAAAACGAGCGGACCACGCGGAACCGGCUCUCUCCUCGCACUCCCGGUCCUAUCGCCUCUCCUACCUGGUGCGCCGCCUCCCGCUCGUCUGUCACUCCCUCGAUCUGCGCCGCACCGCCCACCCCGACUCCUUCCCUCAUCGCCGGCCAACUCCUCCUCUCUCGACCUGCAGCGCUGCUCCACCUCCGGUCCCUGAUCUGGCCAUCCCAGGCUCAUCCCUCGUCUCCCUGUGGCGGAUCGAUUCCCUGGCUCGCGACAGAUGGAUUUCUGGUGGCGCUCCUUAGCAGCAGCGCCCUGCGGCGGAUCAAUUCCCUGGCUGCUUGCGGCGGCAGCGGCGGCCGUGGAGGAGUAGAGCAGCAACCACAGAGCAGCAGCAGCAGCAGAGCCUGGCAAGAAGUGGCUAGCAGGCAGCGGAGCAGCAGCAACAGAGAGCAGCAUCGGCUAGUACAGAGACAAGUAUAGCAGCAGUAUAGGAAUUGCAGGGUGCGUAUGUUGGAUUUAUUCAACAGAGAGCUUAAUUAGUAUAGCAGCAGCAUUAGUUUUUCAUGAUUUUUGCUUGAUGCGUAUGUUGAAUUGCUUACUCUGUUGUUUCUCAUAACUUGACUACUCUGUUGCUGAAAAUACAAAGAGUUAAAAUUAUUCAUCUUGUUGCUGAAAAUCAUUCCAUUCUAACUCCCGAACCAAACACCGGAACGUA
RNAcentral lists this ribosomal RNA (737 nucleotides) under Triticum aestivum (bread wheat). Its description in RNAcentral is "partial small subunit ribosomal RNA". The record is from RNAcentral. Lineage: Eukaryota; Viridiplantae; Streptophyta; Magnoliopsida; Poales; Poaceae.